CGCACGCUUCCUCCUCCAUCCCCUUCCGCGUGAAAAUAUCUGCUGCUCUCUCUCUCUCUCUCCUUCCACUUCAUCCCUCUGCGCCGCCUCCUCUCCUCCCGAUUUGCAUCCUCCCCCAAUCCCCGCCUCCUCUCCUCCUCCCCAAUCCGACGCCUCUCGCCGCGCUCUCUCCUUCCCCUACGCUUUCGACCCCACCCUCGCAAGCUCCCAAGGAUCCGCCGAGUGGAGAACCAGGAAGGAGGAGGGACGUGAAGAGGAGAAGAGGGGGUGCGUCACAGGAGACCUAGGCGGCGGCUCGAGCAGAGGAGCGGGGCCUCGAGACGCCGCAUCCGCCACUCCCCUACCUCGAACCAGCUGCCGCCAUGGAGAAGGACGUGCAGUAGGGGAGGCCGGCGGUGGAGGGAGGAGCGGCGAGGACAGAGGCGCCGGCUGUCAGGGACCUCCCAGCCUUCUUCUUCUCCACGUCAGGUGGAGUUGGAGCCGUCGAGCGCGACCUCGAUCUGGAGUAGGGUAGCAGCAGCCACAGGGGGCUCCAACCUCGUCUCCGCGGGAGGGGGCAGGUGCAGCUCCUCCUCUCCACUCCCCCACGUGACAGCGGCCCCAACCCCCACCCCAACCCCACCACCUCUAGCCCCUCUGCAAUGGAAGUCUCUUUUUUUCUCUCUUCUUCCGCCCCCGUCCAAGGAUUGGUCUGUGAUUCUCGUCUGUUGUUUUUGUUGGGCAGUGUUUCGGUGUUUGGUUUUAAUGGUGGGUGGUGAGAAGAACAGAGGUGGAAGCAGGACCGCGAGGCCGGAGCUCCAGGUGUCGCUCGCGUUUAGGUGGAGUGGAGAGGUGUCGCGGGCCAUGACUGAUGGGUCGUUGCUCACUGGUCGUCGUCCCCUGUCCACCAUCCAGGUUGCACGUCCUCAUCAUAAUCUGAUUUUGAUUCCUUGAUUUUUCUGAUAAAGAGAGGAAGAAUUGGGGAUACAAGUAGUAGGCCUUAGAUUCUUUGCCUCCAGCAGAAGAAAUGAUUCAUGUGUGCCUCCCUUUUUGUUAUAUCUUACAUAAUUUCUAAUCUGGGCAAGUAUCACAUAAUCAGCUUGGCAGCUAAUAUCCAAAAUUGUUAGUGUCGUCGGUACAUUGAUAUCUUAUUUUGGUAAAGGUUUUUCUAUCAAGAACUACAUAUGCUCGACAUGGUGUCAUGGUAUCUACAGUUGUUGUGGAGCCUGCUGGUAUUCUUACCCUUAAUCGCCUCUUUCCCUUCUCUGUAUGAACCCUUUCUUGAUUUGUUUUUGUUUGCGAUCUGCUCUGCUUGUUUUGACUCUUUUUAGUUGAUGCAUUAUUCUAUCUAUUUUUGUGUACUCAGGUGCCUAUGCGAGAAACAUUGGAAGAAUCCAUGUAUUUAGCCGUGGCAUGUUUGGCAGCUACAGCAGCUUCUGCAGCUUUCUUCCCUCGUCAUUCCUCAUAUAUGUGGGCAAUUCAAUGUUGUUACCAGUGGGAGUCCAUAGUGCGUGUGUGUCUGGUCCAGUAUGUGGUUCCAUAGGAUAAGAAAAAAGUUUGUCAAGAAUGGAUCUCUAAAUGUGUUUCGCCUUGAGGUAAAUAAUUUGCAUGAUGUCUACUUUUCGUUAAUUUGGGUCAGGCCAAAAUAAGGUGUAGGCAAAUUUCAGAUUUUUUAUCUGUACUGCAUUUUCACAAAUUAAAACAGUGACCUUGACAUUACCAGUCUAUGGGGGGAGUCAUGGAGAAGCCAAGCUUAAAUGAGAUUUCAAAAUUUUGUGGCCUUUGUUAACAUUUAAAAACCUGGUGCUUCUACUUGUGAAAGAACAGGUAGAGAUAAGGCCCAUCAGUUCAGGUAGAGAUAGUGAAAGAACAGAAGGACUGAGCAAGAGGAGGAACUUCGUCGACCCAGCCGUGAGCAAAUGAUGCUCUAGCGAGUCGAUGAUGACCGUCAUGGAGAUCUGCCUGCAGGGCCUGACCAAGGAACCAACGCUGAAGCCGUUAGACGAGGACGUGCUCUAGAACCUGCAGUUUGCAGCCCUAGUGUAGGAUGACUGGAACAGCGAGGAGUCCCCGCUCUCAUCAUCGCAGAUCCGUGCACAAUCCGCAGAGUACUAACCUCUAGGAAGGCUGAGAAAAAAUAUUGGCAAGCAUUACCAUUAUGAUCCUCCAUCGAUCAUCAUUGUUGACGGAAUUUCUGUUUCUCUUCAUAUAGGAUACAGAUAUGUGAUUCUCAUGUGAUCCUUUUGCUGGAAACUUGCUAAUCUUAGGGGUGUUGCUACUGGUGUAGAAACCGUUUUAUCAAAAGAACUAAAGUAGUAGCUAAUCCAAGCAUUCAAGAAUUGACCCAGAGGUUACGCUAUACCGGCACGAAGUCAGAGCAGCGCCUAAAGACUACACAAGAUAGUUUCUGAUGACCUUCAGUCUAUAUGUCCUAACCAACAACAUCCACCUUUUGUUUUAUCAAUUGAUCCAGUAUCUUUGCCCUUUUGGCAUUGCUUUGAGCAAGAUAUGUAUAGCCUUUAGAUUUUCAUUCAUGUAUGAUACUGCACGUACACUUUAGACCUCAUUACCGUCUCUGUGGUCAAAAGAAGUUUGUGAUUAAUUGUUCUAUAUAUGUAAUCAACUGCCCUUCUACUAAUAUUUUCAGAAGACUAUUUAUAUAUGUUUA
Molecule: long non-coding RNA, 2647 nt
Organism: Triticum aestivum (bread wheat)
Lineage: Eukaryota; Viridiplantae; Streptophyta; Magnoliopsida; Poales; Poaceae
Exons: 3
Source: RefSeq, a predicted model, not a curated record